CCUUAGCUCAGUUGGUCAGAGCUACCGGCUCAUAACCGGUUGGUCAUAGGUUCGAGUCCUAUAGGGUCC
RNAcentral lists this transfer RNA (69 nucleotides) under pig gut metagenome. It matches the Rfam family "tRNA". From Rfam's summary of the family: Transfer RNA (tRNA) molecules are approximately 80 nucleotides in length. Their secondary structure includes four short double-helical elements and three loops (D, anti-codon, and T loops). The record is from RNAcentral.